This 510-nucleotide ribosomal RNA is filed under the name uncultured bacterium. Its description in RNAcentral is "partial 16S ribosomal RNA". It matches the Rfam family "Bacterial small subunit ribosomal RNA", at positions 28 to 507 of the family's 1533-position model. The record is from RNAcentral.
GACGAACGCUGGCGGCGUGCUUAACACAUGCAAGUCGAACGAAGAGCGAUGGAUGUUUGCUUCUAUCAAUCUUAGUGGCGAACGGGUGAGUAACGCGUAAUCAACCUGCCCUUCUGAGGGGGAUAACAGUUGGAAACGACUGCUAAUACCACAUACGAUUCAAUCUCGGCAUCGAGGAUGGAUGAAAGGUGGCCUCUAUUUAUAUGCUAUCAUUGAAGGUGGUGAUUGCGUCGGAUUAGUUCGUUGGCGGGGUAAGGUCCCACCAAGGCGAGGAUCAGUAGCAGGUCUGAUAGGAUGAGCGGCCACAUUGGGACUGAGACACGGCACAGACGCCUACGGGAGGGAGCAGUGGGGAAUCGUCCGCAAUGGGCGAAAGUCUGACGGAGCAACGCCGCGUGAGUGAGGACGGCCUUCGGGUUGUAAAGCUCUGUUAAUCGGGUCGAAAGGUCCUCUUGCGAAUAGUUAGAGGAAUUGACGGUACCGGAAUAGAAAGCCACGGCUAACUACGUG